CUAGCACGUAUAUCCCUACUGGACUCCAUAUGUGUAACUAGAUUGCUGCUGGACUUUUCUUUUUUGGAUGUUCUAUGUUAAACUACAUUUAAAUUGACCCAUCAUAUUUUCUCUCAAUUCUCAUUCUGUGUUCCACAUCUCAGUAAAUGUCACCAAAAUUCACUAACUCUUUUACUUCAGGAGCAAGGAUGCAAUCAUUAGUACCUUUGUCUUCCUCAUUCCUUCUCAAUUUCCAAGUUCAUUCUGUAUUUUCUUCAAAGAUUUGAACUCACAUUUUUCUCACCAGCCUCACUGCCAUGCCACAGAGGAAUUCAUCUGAACUUGGUGAAAUUAAUAGUUUAUAGUCUGUUUUAACAUCCAAUUGUAUUUGGUUUUGUAAUGUUCUAUACUACAUGCAAUGGUCUUUUCACUCCAAAUAGAUAAACUUUCUCGAAGGUAAAUAUUAUAUUACCUACCUUUUGGCAUAUGCAUUGUUUUAAUUCUGGUGCUAGAGCUAUACAUGUAGUACAUUUAAAUGUAGUUUUGAAUUUGGUAUUCUUGGAUAGAACUGGAGGUCAUUAUGUUAAGUGAAAUAAGCCAGGCACAGAAAGACAAACUUCACAUGUUCGCACUUAUUUAUGGGAGCUAAAAAUUAAAACAAUUGAACUCAUGAAGGUAGAAGGUAGAAUGAUGGUUACCAGAAGCUGAGAAAGGCCAUGAGAGUGGAGGGUUGGGGAGGGGAGUGGAGAUAGUUAAUGGGUACAAAAUAAAGUUAGAUUGAAUGAAUAGGAUCUAGUGUUUGAUACUACAACAGGGUGAUUACAAUCAACAAGAAUUUAUUAUAUAUAUGAAAAUAACUAAAGAUUUUAAUUGGAUUGUUUGUGACAAAAAGAAAGGAUACAUGCUUGAGGUGAUGGAUACCCCACUUACCCUGAUUUGCUUAUUAUGCAAUGUAUGCCUGUAUCAAAAUAUCUCAUGUACUCCAUAAAUAUAUACCGCUACCAUGUACCCACAAAAGCUAAAAGUUAAAAAUUAAAAUAAAUAAAUAAAAUAAACUUUCAGGUUAAAAAAAGGAAGUUGAUGUUCCUCUUAAAGAGUCUGUGGAAAUUUUCUUCUUCAUAAGUCACCUCACAAUCCAAAUAUAAAGGCUAAAGUUGGGCCCACUGGCUAGUUGAACUUGUGUCAUCCUAAAGCAGCUUAAUUGUAGUAUUGUCAUGCUUUAAGAGCUGGGAAAAUUGAGGAACAUGAGAUCAGACACAGCCAAACUUAACUUUCACUGAGGCUGCUGCCCCUCCUGUGGGUAUAAUAUUUCCGUUCAUCAAAAGAUUUUUUUCCUUACUUAAUGUACUUACCAUGUGGUUUUAUUAGAAUGAAUAGCUCUCUCCUUGUAAAUGCAUUUGGUUGGAAAUUCAAUUUCUUUCAGGGCCAGUGGGAGAGGUCGAAGGGCUAUAAAUAUUCCUUCUCCAAACUGUUUAUAAGUAAAAUGGCAUUGCCUAAGAGGCCUGAAAAAUGUUGCGCUAUAUCCUGAAUUAUGUACAAAUCCCUGGCAAUCUUCUGUUUCUUUCUUUGAUGAGGACAGAUUUUACAGUCUCCCUCAGUGAUGAGUUAUGUUCGUAGUUGUUUUAAUGGAUAGCUGUGUCUAUGAAGAAUGAGAGUGAUCACCAGGGCUUCAACUCUAACUCCUGACUUUUCUUUUAAACCUGGGGACUAGAAAUUCUCAUCAUGCCUCCCUCAUUGUUGUAUCUAGUGUUGAAAUGAGGAGACCUUGGUAGAACCUACUAACCCCUCUGCCUCUGGGUUGUGCAACUUUGGGUAAGGCCCACAACUACUUUGUUCUUAUUUUUCUUGUGUUAAAUGAAACUAUUAUCUUCUAUGCAUUCCUCCCAGGCUUGAUGUAGAUAUAAUUUUAGUCCCAUUUUCAAAGUCAGUUUUUAAUUCAUUCCAUCAAAUAAUUAGUUUCAUAGCAUAUUUCUGGGUGGCAAGCAUGCACAGACAAAAGAGAUAAUGCAAUGCUUUUGUGAAAUCACGUACAUUGUCUCAUGUGAUUUUCCUCCUCAGAAUGAUUGUUGGUCUGGGGAAAAAUAAGAAAAUUUUUGGUAUUGUCCUCUUUAAUUGAAAAGUGAGGUUCAGUAGGAAAGAAAUGAAAACUACAAUUUUGUGAGUGUCUACUAUAUGCCAAGCACAAGCUGGAUGCUAAAUAUGUAAAUUGGAUAGCUACCAGCUGAUUUCAUUUACAUCCACUCUUGAAUGGGUUUACAUCCAUUCUAACUUGGCUUCCUCCUCAUGUUUUCAUCACCCCCAGAGGUAUCUAAGCCAUCUAUUGUGGAGUCUUAAUUGGGUCCAGUAUCGUGGAGAAGUAAAUUGGCCCUGCAAAAGAGUUAAUUGGAAUGUGGGUGGUAGCAACUCUGAAAAACUUGUUUUCAUCCUGCGUAAGUAAUGGUGUGAGGCAGGGAGGAGUAUGUUGUGUUUGCUGACUUGCUGCAUGAAGGAUAAUUAGGUGCUACAUCAAUGUGAAAUAGGAUGGCAAAAUGAGACUCUUUCUAUUUCAUUUUAGGCUGAAGGUCCCAAAGACAGACAGUUAUACAAAGCAAAGGUGAUAACUCAGCUGGCCAAGGAAGUCCUCUAAUUUGAGACCUCAAUUUUGAGAUCUUAAUACCUAACUAAAGAUAGAUUCAGAUAUUAAAAUCUACCUGUUAAGGCUGCAGAGGUUGAGCAAGGAGACUUGUUUCAGUUUAAAGGCUUUUGGGGAGAGAUUUGUUAAUAUGCUGCAUGUGAUUGACACCCUCUUCCUUGCCCAUACAGGAAGGGAGAGCAUUUAGGGAACUUCAAGAGAAACACUCAGAAUAAUUGAUCUAUGUUCCUUUGAGUUUUUGAGGUACAGAAAAAAGGGUUUUUGCAGAUGUAAUUAUGUUAGGAAUCUUGAAGUAAGAUCCUGGCUAAUUGUCUUUGGAUUGAGUCCAAACAACAAGUGGUUGCCUGCCCCAUCUGUCCUCCCCUCAAGCAUACUCUAAGCUAUUUAGGCUUUGGGUUCCAUGAAAUCUGGAAAAAUUCUUCAGAGGCUGAAAGACAGUAAGAACAUUAAUUUCCCCUACAGUUUCCCAGUCUGAAGAGAGCUGCUUGUUAAAACAGGGAAAAGCAUCUCUAAUUCAAAAUGCCAGUAGUCAUACAAUUAAACUGGGAAAUGGAGAACUAAUUAUGAUUGUAUAAAAUAUAUGAAGCUUUCAUAUCAAAAAGUAAAUCUCAAAUGGCUCAGCUUUAGGAUAUCCAUCUUUCUCAGCCUGGUCCCUGGCUGGAGACAAAUAUUUGGCAUAUGUCAUAGUUUAGCCAUCAACCCAAAGGCACCAAGAUACUUGCUGCUAUCACCUAUUUUCUUCCAUGUCGUUUUGAGAUCUUUGCCUAUUGCCAGACCCAUCUUUGCCAAAAAGGAAUUAAUCAUGUUCUAGUGAAGUCACUGUGGGUAUGUAUUUAUUCAUUCUCAGGAGCCUGGCAAUGGCUCCAGUCCUUUGAGUUCCCCCUGGUAGGGUGAUGGGAAUGUAUAGUUUAGAAAAAUAUAGAGUUUUGCGUUAUACCCUUUGAUCAGCAUAAUGCCAGAUUAGCUAGGAAAUGUGGUCGUGGCCUGGUUUAUUUGGACUGGGAGUGGCAAUCCAGGAAAUGGACUUUACCAAAGAGCCAAGGUGGCAUCUGUCUUCUAUCCAAUCAUCUAACUGCUGUGGAAAAAAAUAUACUGAAUAGCAAAAGUAUUUGUACUGAUAAAUUUCUUUUCCUAUCACUGAAACCAGUAAAUCAUUUUAUAAUGUUCAUUCAUUUGUAAAAACAGUUACCAUCUAC
This 3807-nucleotide long non-coding RNA is filed under the name Homo sapiens (human). RNAcentral's name for it is "HSALNT0300777". The record is from RNAcentral. Lineage: Eukaryota; Metazoa; Chordata; Mammalia; Primates; Hominidae.